GCAUUGUGGGAAGCCCCGCACACGGGAAGCGCUCCGCGGCGCCCGCCCUCGUCUGGCGCAGAGACCUGGCUGGAAAGACACAGCGUGGCUUCGAUUCCGGCGCCUGCGUGUCACCAGCCCAGGGUGGCCGUGGAAGCUGGACCCGAGCCGCAGGCCCCCCAGGCUGGGCCUGGGAGGAAAGCGGUUUGAAAAAGAUCGGAACUGAGGAACUCUCUUAGAGCGGGGGACUCCCUGCUCCUACAGCCUUAACCAAUGCCCAGCGCUUGGAAAGUGGAGGACUCGGGGAUUCGGGAGCGUUUCAGGCCUGGGGAAAUGGAAGGGUCGGGGACCUAGGUGAAAGGUUAUUUGCCAGAAAUGUCUUGGCUUUUUCAUUUAUUCUGUCUUACCUAGCCCUUCGCCGCCACCUCCAGUCGUUGGCCUCUUACCACCUUCAAAUGCCACCUUUUCCGGAAGAUGUAGCCCUGCGCCCUUGAAACUGGCAAACCCUAUUAGUGUCUGCAAGCUGAGAUGCAGGGUGUGGGCAUAGACACAGAUCAAGAGAUCCGGCCCUGGACCCUCUUGGGCAGAACCUUGCCCUUCUCAUUUCACCUGAAGCCCAAACUUUGUAUGGCAAAGACUUGGUAAUGAUCUCUAUAGAGCUAGGAUUACACAGUUGUCUCAUCCUUUGGGGGCCCUUUAGCCAAACUGUGACCUCCUUAAUGGUGCCUUCGUCAGCUAACAUUAGGCGCCCUGAGGUGCUUCUGCAUACUGCCAUCGUUUACAAUUACUCAUCUUUGUGUACACACCCUAGCACAAGGUCAGCCAUAUAACAUAAAAGAUGCUCAGUGAAUGUUGAGUAAUUGUGAGCAUCUGGAACUUGCCGUGGGAUAAAACGCGUUCAUUGGGAUUUCUUCAUAAUAAUAUGAAGAUUCCAUUUAGCGCCUCUCUGCAAUACUUAAACGUAACCUUUGAGGGGAGAGGGAAAAGAAAAGGCAUGAAAAUAUCUAUAGAGCCAUUUCUGGUGUUCUCCUUCCCUUUUCCACACCCGCCUUCCCACCCCUUGCCAACUAAAUGUUCAUUUGAAUAGUGCUUUUUGGCAAAAUUCCAAACUCCUGCAUUAUGCACUUGUGAUGACACUGAAUUAGAUUAGUGUCUGCAAGGUUAAUGUUCCCUCAGGCAUUAACCUUAGUAAAUCGUGAUGCCUGUUUAGAAAUAGCUAAGGCCCAGAGGUUCAGCUUAAUUUAGACACAGGUAACUAAGAGCAAGAGUAAACCACAGCUCCACAAUCAACUCUCUCUGUGUGCUUUCUCCAUUAAAAAAUAUAAAUUUUAA
Long non-coding RNA from Homo sapiens (human), 1311 nucleotides. The record is from Ensembl. NCBI's taxonomy places the organism in Eukaryota, Metazoa, Chordata, Mammalia, Primates, Hominidae.